Molecule: small RNA, 28 nt
Filed under: Bombyx mori (domestic silkworm)
Lineage: Eukaryota; Metazoa; Arthropoda; Insecta; Lepidoptera; Bombycidae
Description: ovarian small RNA-10165
Source: RNAcentral
AAAUGGCACUACAAAUCCACUGGCUGUG